GCUUACGGCCAUACCACCCUGAACACGCCCGAUCUCGAAGCUAAGCAGGGUCGGGCCUGGUUAGUACUUGGAUGGGAGACCGCCUGGGAAUACCAGGUGCUGUAAGCU
Ribosomal RNA from Labrus bergylta (ballan wrasse), 108 nucleotides. The record is from Ensembl. Lineage: Eukaryota; Metazoa; Chordata; Actinopteri; Labriformes; Labridae.